Molecule: ribosomal RNA, 443 nt
Filed under: uncultured Rhodocyclaceae bacterium
Lineage: Bacteria; Pseudomonadati; Pseudomonadota; Betaproteobacteria; Rhodocyclales; Rhodocyclaceae
Description: bacterial SSU rRNA
Rfam family: Bacterial small subunit ribosomal RNA
Source: RNAcentral
AUGUGGUUUAAUUCGAUGCAACGCGAAAACUUACCUACCCUUGACAUGUCCGGAAUCCCGAAGAGAUUUUGGGAGUGCUCGCAAGAGAACCGGAACACAGGUGCUGCAUGGCUGUCGUCAGCUCGUGUCGUGAGAUGUUGGGUUAAGUCCCGCAACGAGCGCAACCCUUGUCAUUAGUUGCCAUCAUUUGGUUGGGCACUCUAAUGAGACUGCCGGUGACAAACCGGAGGAAGGUGGGGAUGACGUCAAGUCCUCAUGGCCCUUAUGGGUAGGGCUUCACACGUCAUACAAUGGUCGGUACAGAGGGUUGCCAACCCGCGAGGGGGAGCUAAUCCCACAAAGCCGAUCGUAGUCCGGAUCGCAGUCUGCAACUCGACUGCGUGAAGUCGGAAUCGCUAGUAAUCGUGGAUCAGCAUGUCACGGUGAAUACGUUCCCGGGUCUU